Molecule: long non-coding RNA, 253 nt
Filed under: Elaeis guineensis (African oil palm)
Lineage: Eukaryota; Viridiplantae; Streptophyta; Magnoliopsida; Arecales; Arecaceae
Description: long non-coding RNA (EGUI_LNC080264)
Source: RNAcentral
UGGUUGUCCUCGUAACCAAAUAAUAUAGAGAUACUGGUAUGGCAUACAGGUGAGAUAUAGAAGUACAUCAUCACUGAACAUGACCAACUACGGAGCACUCUGCUGUCAAGGGUAGCUCGCGAAAGAUAUGAGUAUAAGUAUCCCUCCGAUCUAAGAUCACCACGGUGACUUGCAAGCAACUCACUGUACUUUGGUGCUGGACUAACUGAGUUUUUAAUUCGAUAAUGAAAGAUUUCUAAGUAUAGUCAAGUAC